CUCUGGGUAUUUUCCAUUAUGAUGUGAGUUGUCUAAUACCUAAAUAAAUGCCUGUGUUGGUCAUCUUCAUAAAGAGAAAGCCGUGGUUCUGGCUCAUAGUUUUAGAAGGUCCAGUCCAUCGUCCCUCUACCUCCUUGUUUUUCGUCUGGCCAGGAGCCAGUCAUGACUUGGUUGCAUGCGGAGCAAAGAUGUUUAUGUCCUAGCUAGGGUGUUUAAAGGACAAAGAGGAAGAGGGUUCUUCUGUCCCCUUCAUGCAAAUGACUCUGGGGUCCAGGAGCCCUCCCACUUGGCUCCCUUAUACAGCUUCUACUUCCAGAGCUUGGCAGUAUGGGCCUUUGGCAUCCCGGGUUUAAGCCGUGAUACCCUCCCCUUCAGUGAUACUGCUAGCAAGAUUCCACAGGUCCCAGCUUCGUGGGAAGAGGUAUUAAUAAGCGAGCCUGUGGAUUGUAUAGCCAGGUGUUCUCACAGUGCUGAUGCAAUACAU
Molecule: long non-coding RNA, 484 nt
Filed under: Rattus norvegicus (Norway rat)
Lineage: Eukaryota; Metazoa; Chordata; Mammalia; Rodentia; Muridae
Description: long non-coding RNA NONRATT012559
Source: RNAcentral